Molecule: non-coding RNA, 360 nt
Organism: Pogona vitticeps (central bearded dragon)
Lineage: Eukaryota; Metazoa; Chordata; Lepidosauria; Squamata; Agamidae
Source: RefSeq, a predicted model, not a curated record
GAAGCAGCAGGCUCUAUAGAAACCUGACUGGACACAUCGCUAAGCGAGCUGAAGAAACAUAAGUAACAGCAGACAAUGUCUACUCAUUUACAUGGCCAAGUGAGAAUUUGAACCCAGAUCUCCUGAGUCUUGUUCCAUCACUCUGUCUACUGCACUGCACUUGGCAUUGUAACUCAUCACCUGGAAUCUGAUCAGUGUCCACAUAAGACUGUCAAAGGUGAGUCACAGGGCAACAGACAAACUGAACGCUGUGCCUGAAACUACAAAACGAGAAGAAGCAGAGAAAGGAAAAUACAAACCCGGGAAGAAAUGUUAUGAAACGGUCUCCUCAGGAAAAUUCUCUCUUUGUCUCUCUAGCUC